This 107-nucleotide small nucleolar RNA is filed under the name Theobroma cacao (cacao). Its description in RNAcentral is "Plant small nucleolar RNA R71". It matches the Rfam family "Plant small nucleolar RNA R71". From Rfam's summary of the family: R71 is a member of the C/D box family of snoRNAs containing the C (UGAUGA) and D (CUGA) box motifs. Multiple nearly identical copies of this snoRNA have been identified in Arabidopsis, and it is thought to function as a 2'-O-ribose methylation guide for 18S ribosomal RNA. The record is from Rfam by way of RNAcentral. Lineage: Eukaryota; Viridiplantae; Streptophyta; Magnoliopsida; Malvales; Malvaceae.
AGACCAUGAUGAGGACAAUGUCAAAGUAAUUCUUUACAUCUUUCCCAAGCCUCAUACAAUGAUUCAAAAUCUUGCUACAUGAAUGAUGUGAUAUCGUUCCUCAUUUU